RNAcentral lists this ribosomal RNA (329 nucleotides) under uncultured eukaryote. Its description in RNAcentral is "partial 18S ribosomal RNA". It matches the Rfam family "Eukaryotic small subunit ribosomal RNA", at positions 1469 to 1796 of the family's 1831-position model. The record is from RNAcentral.
UCCCUUAGAUGUCCUGGGCCGCACGCGCGUUACACUGAUGCAUUCAACGAGCUUAUAACCUUGGCCGAGAGGCCUGGGCAAUCUUGUUAACGUGCAUCGUGAUAGGGAUAGAUUAUUGAAAUUAUUAAUCUUGAACGAGGAAUUCCUAGUAAACGCAGAUCAUCAAUCUGCAUUGAUUACGUCCCUGCCCUUUGUACACACCGCCCGUCGCACCUACCGAUUGGAUGGUCCGGUGAAGCCUCGGGAUUGUGGUUCUUGCCGCUUUAUUGUGGCGUGACCGCGAGAACUUGUCUAAACCUUAUCAUCUAGAGGAAGGUGAAGUCGUAACA